RNAcentral lists this long non-coding RNA (641 nucleotides) under Homo sapiens (human). RNAcentral describes it as "HSALNT0339291". Lineage: Eukaryota; Metazoa; Chordata; Mammalia; Primates; Hominidae. The record is from RNAcentral.
UCACAAUCUUCCAGAUUUGCUGCACAUCAGGAAGCUUGACAAUGCUUACUUUAGCAAAUCCUUAAUCCCAGAAGGACAAACAAGAAAAGGUAUUCAUUAAAAUGGGAGAGAUUCUAAUAAUUUAUACCAUCUGCCAAUCACUGUACACUAUUGUGUGAAGAAAUAAGAUUAAAUGUCUUUCCUUGAUGGAAUGGAUUAUUCUCACACCUUUGACAAGACAGGACAAUGUCAUCAACUGAAUGAGAGAAGACUGAAAAAUUAGAAAGAAGUUGAAUUUUCUUAAUUUGGAAUGACUUCAGGAAGCAUUGCAAAAAUAAAGCUUGUAUUUUAGAUAUUUUGAAGACUGCAAAAUGAACAUACAGAAGAAAUUUUGUAAUUAAAUUUAUGCAGGCCAAGCCUAUGCUGAAAAGAAUAGCAAGAAAUAAAAAUAACCUAAAGCAAAGGCACAUUUCAGCAAAAUGAGUGUCAAUGUUUUCAAAAUACAUACAAAUUCUCAGCACUCUAGUUAAGAAGAUAAAAAUAAAAAAGAAAAGUGGGUUUAUAUGUUACUUAUCAAAAAUGAACAUGGGCUGUUAAAAUACAUAGGGGAAACCAUAUGUGUCACAAAACCCAAAAGAACAGCAGGGUUAAUAGAAUAAAAC